AUGAGUGGCGAACGGGUGAGUAACACGUGAGUAACCUGCCCUCUUCUUUGGGAUAACGCCCGGAAACGGGUGCUAAUACUGGAUAUUCACUGGCCUUCGCAUGGGGGUUGGUGGAAAGGUUUGUUCUAGUGGGGGAUGGGCUCGCGGCCUAUCAGCUUGUUGGUGGGGUGAUGGCCUACCAAGGCUUUGACGGGUAGCCGGCCUGAGAGGGUGACCGGUCACAUUGGGACUGAGAUACGGCCCAG
This 245-nucleotide ribosomal RNA is filed under the name uncultured bacterium. RNAcentral describes it as "partial 16S ribosomal RNA". It matches the Rfam family "Bacterial small subunit ribosomal RNA", at positions 91 to 334 of the family's 1533-position model. The record is from RNAcentral.